UGGCGGCGUGCUUAACACAUGCAAGUCGAACGGGAUCCAUCGGGCUUUGCUUGGUGGUGAGAGUGGCGAACGGGUGAGUAAUGCGUGACCGACCUGCCCCAUGCUCCGGAAUAGCUCCUGGAAACGGGUGGUAAUGCCGGAUGUUCCACAUGAUCGCAUGUGAUUGUGGGAAAGAUUCUAUCGGCGUGGGAUGGGGUCGCGUCCUAUCAGCUUGUUGGUGAGGUAACGGCUCACCAAGGCUUCGACGGGUAGCCGGCCUGAGAGGGCGACCGGCCACAUUGGGACUGAGAUACGGCCCAGACUCCUACGGGAGGCAGCAGUGGGGAAUAUUGCACAAUGGGCGCAAGCCUGAUGCAGCGACGCCGCGUGAGGGAUGGAGGCCUUCGGGUUGUAAACCUCUUUUGUUUGGGAGCAAGCCUUCGGGUGAGUGUACCUUUCGAAUAAGCGCCGGCUAACUACGUGCCAGCAGCCGCGGUAAUACGUAGGGCGCAAGCGUUAUCCGGAUUUAUUGGGCGUAAAGGGCUCGUAGGCGGCUCGUCGCGUCCGGUGUGAAAGUCCAUCGCUUAACGGUGGAUCUGCGCCGGGUACGGGCGGGCUGGAGUGCGGUAGGGGAGACUGGAAUUCCCGGUGUAACGGUGGAAUGUGUAGAUAUCGGGAAGAACACCGAUGGCGAAGGCAGGUCUCUGGGCCGUCACUGACGCUGAGGAGCGAAAGCGUGGGGAGCGAACAGGAUUAGAUACCCUGGUAGUCCACGCCGUAAACGGUGGACGCUGGAUGUGGGGCACGUUCCACGUGUUCCGUGUCGGAGCUAACGCGUUAAGCGUCCCGCCUGGGGAGUACGGCCGCAAGGCUAAAACUCAAAGAAAUUGACGGGGGCCCGCACAAGCGGCGGAGCAUGCGGAUUAAUUCGAUGCAACGCGAAGAACCUUACCUGGGCUUGACAUGUUCCCGACGACGCCAGAGAUGGCGUUUCCCUUCGGGGCGGGUUCACAGGUGGUGCAUGGUCGUCGUCAGCUCGUGUCGUGAGAUGUUGGGUUAAGUCCCGCAACGAGCGCAACCCUCGCCCCGUGUUGCCAGCACGUUAUGGUGGGAACUCACGGGGGACCGCCGGGGUUAACUCGGAGGAAGGUGGGGAUGACGUCAGAUCAUCAUGCCCCUUACGUCCAGGGCUUCACGCAUGCUACA
This 1185-nucleotide ribosomal RNA is filed under the name Bifidobacterium bifidum. Its description in RNAcentral is "bacterial SSU rRNA". It matches the Rfam family "Bacterial small subunit ribosomal RNA", at positions 37 to 1229 of the family's 1533-position model. Lineage: Bacteria; Bacillati; Actinomycetota; Actinomycetes; Bifidobacteriales; Bifidobacteriaceae. The record is from RNAcentral.